Long non-coding RNA from Helianthus annuus (common sunflower), 658 nucleotides. RefSeq lists it as uncharacterized. The transcript is spliced from 3 exons. The record is from RefSeq and is a predicted model, not a curated record. NCBI's taxonomy places the organism in Eukaryota, Viridiplantae, Streptophyta, Magnoliopsida, Asterales, Asteraceae.
UUAUUUUAAGUUAAUAGUGUACUGGUUAUAACUAAUAUCAAAUCUUUACUAAUACUUGAUUUCUUUUUAUGAUGGUUGACUUUGCGAGAACUAACGGAGCAUUAGUGUCAAGAAUGGGCUGAGAUUCGAAUUCAGUCGGUUUUUCGCUCUUUUUUGACAAAAAGGGAUCAAGAUCGGGACCGUCCAUUUGACUUCACACGGAUCACCAUCUGCUUUCUCUCUCAAUGCUCACACAUCUGACAAAAAGGGAUGCCAAAAGCAGGGAAGUACAAUCUACAGGAAAAAGCAACACUUUACUUUUGUGUGAAAGACAGCUUGCUUGCUGCAGUCUCUAUAAUAUACCAACACUCUUCCAUACACUGUUUGAAAGACAGCACUGCUUCCUUCAGUCUCUAUAAAUAAUCCAGAGAUAUCUACACUCUACUCACACUUUACAAACUCUCAACUACACUCAACUGAAAUUAAUAUAUCAACUCUUUGCAUUCGGAUCUUGCGUUGUUUCUCGGCUCUCACAUCAAGGUUUUAAAAUUUUUGUCGGCUUUUCACAUCUCCCUCUUGCAUUGUUGUAAGUUCUUUCAAAUAUGACAUAGUGAAAGGAUAAAUUGUUUUUGUAGUUUUGAUUUUACUUUGUUCUGUUAUAUUUUGAUCUUUUCCUUCA